GUGCUCACUUUGGCAACACAUAUACUAAAUUUGGAACAAUACAGAGAAGAUUAGCAUGGUCCCUGUGUGCAAGGAUGAUGCGAAAAUUCAUGAAGAGUUUCUUAUUUUU
Molecule: small nuclear RNA, 109 nt
Organism: Trichechus manatus latirostris (Florida manatee)
Lineage: Eukaryota; Metazoa; Chordata; Mammalia; Sirenia; Trichechidae
Source: RefSeq, a predicted model, not a curated record